AUUGAACGCUGGCGGCAUGCCUUACACAUGCAAGUCGAACGGUAACAGGUCUUCGGAUGCUGACGAGUGGCGAACGGGUGAGUAAUACAUCGGAACGUGCCCGAUCGUGGGGGAUAACUACUCGAAAGAGUAGCUAAUACCGCAUACGAUCUACGGAUGAAAGCGGGGGAUCUUCGGACCUCGUGCGGACGGAGCGGCCGAUGGCAGAUUAGGUAGUUGGUGGGAUAAAAGCUUACCAAGCCGACGAUCUGUAGCUGGUCUGAUAGGACGACCAGCCACACGGGGACGGAGAAACGGCCCAGACUCCUACGGGAGGCAGCAGUGGGGAAUUUUGGACAAUGGGCGAAAGCCUGAUCCAGCAAUGCCGCGUGCAGGAUGAAGGCCUUCGGGUUGUAAACUGCUUUUGUACGGAACGAAAAGACUCCUUCUAAUACAGGGGGUCCAUGACGGUACCGUAAGAAUAAGCACCGGCUAACUACGUGCCAGCAGCCGCCGUAA
RNAcentral lists this ribosomal RNA (498 nucleotides) under uncultured bacterium. RNAcentral's name for it is "partial 16S ribosomal RNA". It matches the Rfam family "Bacterial small subunit ribosomal RNA", at positions 30 to 523 of the family's 1533-position model. The record is from RNAcentral.